CGAGCGUUGUCCGGAAUUAUUGGGCGUAAAGCGAGCGCAGGCGGUUAGAUAAGUCUGAAGUUAAAGGCUGUGGCUUAACCAUAGUAUGCUUUGGAAACUGUUUAACUUGAGUGCAGAAGGGGAGAGUGGAAUUCCAUGUGUAGCGGUGAAAUGCGUAGAUAUAUGGAGGAACACCGGUGGCGAAAGCGGCUCUCUGGUCUGUAACUGACGCUGAGGCUCGAAAGCGUGGGGAGCAAACAGGAUUAGAUACCCUGGUAGUCCACGCCGUAAACGAUGAGUGCUAGGUGUUAGGCCCUUUCCGGGGCUUAGUGCCGCAGCUAACGCAUUAAGCACUCCGCCUGGGGAGUACGACCGCAAGGUUGAAACUC
RNAcentral lists this ribosomal RNA (368 nucleotides) under uncultured Streptococcus sp. RNAcentral describes it as "bacterial SSU rRNA". It matches the Rfam family "Bacterial small subunit ribosomal RNA", at positions 535 to 902 of the family's 1533-position model. Lineage: Bacteria; Bacillati; Bacillota; Bacilli; Lactobacillales; Streptococcaceae. The record is from RNAcentral.